GGAGUUAGCCGGUGCUUCUUCUGUGAGUGAUGUCCUUCCUGCCGGCUAUUAACCCGCAGGCCUUCUUCCUCACUGAAAGUGCUUUACAACCCGAAGGCCUUCUUCACACACGCGGCAUGGCUGGAUCAGGGUUGCCCCCAUUGUCCAAUAUUCCCCACUGCUGCCUCCCGUAGGAGUCUGGGCCGUGUCUCAGUCCCAGUGUGGCUGAUCAUCCUCUCAGACCAGCUACGGAUCGUCGCCUUGGUGAGCCGUUACCUCACCAACCAGCUAAUCCGACAUAGGCUCAUCCGAUAGCGCGAGGCCCGAAGGUCCCCCGCUUUCCCCCGUAGGGCGUAUGCGGUAUUAGCCUGGGUUUCCCCAGGUUAUCCCCCACUACCCGGGCAGAUUCCUAUGCAUUACUCACCCGUCCGCCGCUCGCCACCAGGGAGCAAGCUCCCCGUGCUGCCGCUCGACUUGCAUGUGUUAGGCCUGCCGCCAGCGUUCAAUCUGAGCCAUAAUCAAACUCU
This 506-nucleotide ribosomal RNA is filed under the name uncultured bacterium. RNAcentral's name for it is "partial 16S ribosomal RNA". The record is from RNAcentral.